CCAUCUCUACCCCAUCGUACUAAAGUACCAUCCCCAGUAUCCCCUAUGGACUAGGAGAAAGAGAUUUACCGGUAGGUAAUUAAAAUCCUAUUUGUAAGCUCUCGAGCAGGGCCUUCUUCCCUCGUGUGCUUUUCCUGCUCUUACACUAUCUUGUACUCCAUAUUCCCUUUGAUGGCACCUAACCCCUGAUUUUCCAUACUUGUUCUAUAUUGUUUUGCACUAUAACUUGCUGUUUUCUUGUUUUGCUCAUUUGUUAUGUACUCUGAUGGGCGCUGCGGAUCCCUUGUGGCGCCAUAUAAAUAAAGGAUGAUGAUAAUAAUAAAACAUAAAUUCUACUUGUGAUACAAACUAUUACAGAAAUUACAGCCACUGGGGAGAAGUUAAUGGGUAACCUACAGACCUCGUGGACAGAAAGAACUGGACAGGGACUUAAUGCAGGACAUCAUUAAAAGUAGGGACAUCCAGAAUGCCUUCAAUGGAGUACAAGCCACUGGAGAGGAAUGUCACUUGCUGCUAACAAUAUUAAACUUACUGCUGCCA
Long non-coding RNA from Pseudophryne corroboree (corroboree frog), 540 nucleotides. RefSeq lists it as uncharacterized. NCBI's taxonomy places the organism in Eukaryota, Metazoa, Chordata, Amphibia, Anura, Myobatrachidae. The transcript has 2 exons. The record is from RefSeq and is a predicted model, not a curated record.